UACGUAGGGUGCGAGCGUUAAUCGGAAUUACUGGGCGUAGAGCGUGCGCAGGCGGUUUUGUAAGACAGAUGUGAAAUCCCCGGGCUUAACCUGGGAACUGCGUUUGUGACUGCAAGACUCGAGUACGGCAGAGGGGGGUGGAAUUCCACGUGUAGCAGUGAAAUGCGUAGAGAUGUGGAGGAACACCGAUGGCGAAGGCAGCCCCCUGGGUCGAUACUGACGCUCAUGCACGAAAGCGUGGGGAGCAAACAGG
RNAcentral lists this ribosomal RNA (253 nucleotides) under uncultured bacterium. Its description in RNAcentral is "partial 16S ribosomal RNA". It matches the Rfam family "Bacterial small subunit ribosomal RNA", at positions 524 to 776 of the family's 1533-position model. The record is from RNAcentral.